GGGGAUGUCAAGGUUUCGACAGGUAGAGAGGAGCGUAAACGCAGCGUUGUGGUACAACUAAAACACCUAAGCACGAUAAAUGCCAAAAAGAAUUUUAUCCCUUUCGCGAAGACCAAUAUGAUGGCCUGCGCUGCUUGCUAGUUUAGUUGAGUAGUUAGGAGUAUUACCUCCCGCGAAGUCUUCUAAAACCUCGCUAUUCUAUUCGGAGUUUAGGAGGCUUAAAAAAGAAUAGAUAGCUGUUAUCUCGCCGUGAUUUGACAGCGAAACUGAAGCGGCAAAUUCAACCUAUUUCUCCCGUUUAUCAAGAGGGGUUGAAUUAAAUUGGUAAACUAAGCUGUAGUGGUUAUUGCGGAGCUCUAUUUGGACAGGAGUUCGAUUCUCCUCAUCUCCAU
Molecule: transfer-messenger RNA, 392 nt
Filed under: chicken gut metagenome
Rfam family: transfer-messenger RNA
About the family: Bacterial tmRNA, also known as 10Sa RNA or SsrA, is named for its dual tRNA and mRNA-like properties. Its role is to liberate the mRNA from a stalled ribosome.
Source: RNAcentral